UACGGAGGGGGCAAGCGUUGUUCGGAUUUACUGGGCGUAAAGGGUGUGUAGGCGGCUGGAUAAGUCUGGUGUGAAAUCUUCACCGCUCAACGGGAAGGGGUCACUGGAAACUGUUCAGCUUGAGAAUGGUAGAGGCAAGCGGAAUUCCUGGUGUAGCGGUGAAAUGCGCAGAUAUCAGGAGGAACACCAAUGGCGAAGGCAGCUCACUGGGACGGUAUUGACGCUGAGACGCGAAAGCGUGGGGAGCAAACAGG
This 254-nucleotide ribosomal RNA is filed under the name uncultured bacterium. RNAcentral describes it as "partial 16S ribosomal RNA". It matches the Rfam family "Bacterial small subunit ribosomal RNA", at positions 524 to 776 of the family's 1533-position model. The record is from RNAcentral.